UUCCUUGAACCGCAUGGUUACAAGGAUGAAAGACGGUUUCGGCUGUCACUUACAGAUCUGGACCCGCGGCGCAUUAGCUAGUUGGUGGGGUAAUGGCUCACCAAGGCGACGAUGCGUAGCCGACCUGAGAGGGUGAUCGGCCAGCACUGGGACUGAGACACGGCCCAGACUCCUACGGGAGGCAGCAGUAGGGAAUCUUCCUGCAAUGGACGAAAGUCUGACGGAGCAACGCCGCGUGAGUGAUGAAGGUUUUCGCGAUCGUAAAGCUCUGUUGUUAGGGAAGAACAAGUGCGAGAGUAACUGCUCGCACCUUGACGGUACCUGACAACCAGAAAGCCACGGCUAACUACGUGCCAGCAGAGCCGCAGGUAAUACGUAGGUGGCAUCAGCGUGUGUCCGGAAUUAUUGGGCGUAAAGGGCUCGCAGGCGGUUUCUUAAGUCUGAUGUGAAAGCCCCCGGCUCAACCGGGGAGGGUCAUUGGAAACUGGGAAACUUGAGUGCAGAAGAGGAGAGUGGAAUUCCACGUGUAGCGUGUGAAAUGCGCUAGAGAUGUGGAGGAACACCAGUGGCGAAAGCGACUCUCUGGUCUGUAACUGACGCU
This 601-nucleotide ribosomal RNA is filed under the name Bacillus pumilus. RNAcentral describes it as "bacterial SSU rRNA". It matches the Rfam family "Bacterial small subunit ribosomal RNA", at positions 173 to 747 of the family's 1533-position model. The record is from RNAcentral. Lineage: Bacteria; Bacillati; Bacillota; Bacilli; Caryophanales; Bacillaceae.